This 458-nucleotide ribosomal RNA is filed under the name uncultured bacterium. Its description in RNAcentral is "partial 16S ribosomal RNA". It matches the Rfam family "Bacterial small subunit ribosomal RNA", at positions 338 to 795 of the family's 1533-position model. The record is from RNAcentral.
CCUACGGGAGGCAGCAGUGGGGAAUAUUGCACAAUGGGGGAAACCCUGAUGCAGCGAAGCCGCGUGAGUGAAGAAGUAUUUCGGUAUGUAAAGCUCUAUCAGCAGGGAAGAAAUAGCGACCUUUGGGUCGCCAGACGGUACCUGAUUAAGAAGCCCCGGCUAACUACGUGCCAGCAGCCGCGGUAAUACGUAGGGGGCAAGCGUUAUCCGGAUUUACUGGGUGUAAAGGGGGCGUGGACGGCAGCGCAAGUCUGAAGUGAAAUGCCGGGGCCUAACCCCGGAACUGCUGUGGAAACUGUGCAGCUAGAGUGCAGGAGAGGUAAGUGGAAUGCCUGGUGUAGCGGUGAAAUGCGUAGAUAUUAGGAGGAACACCAGUGGCGAAGGCGGCUUACUGGACUGUAACUGACGUUGAGGCUCGAAAGCGUGGGGAGCAAACAGGAUUAGAUACCCGUGUAGUC